Molecule: ribosomal RNA, 399 nt
Filed under: uncultured bacterium
Lineage: Bacteria
Description: bacterial SSU rRNA
Rfam family: Bacterial small subunit ribosomal RNA
Source: RNAcentral
AUUGAACGCUGGCGGCAUGCCUUACACAUGCAAGUCGAACGGUAACGGGCCUUCGGGUGCCGACGAGUGGCGAACGGGUGAGUAAUGCAUCGGAACGUACCUUUCAGUGGGGGAUAACGUAGCGAAAGUUACGCUAAUACCGCAUAUUCUGUGAGCAGGAAAGCAGGGGAUCGCAAGACCUUGCGCUGAUUGAGCGGCCGAUGUCAGAUUAGCUAGUUGGUGAGGUAAAGGCUCACCAAGGCGACGAUCUGUAGCGGGUCUGAGAGGAUGAUCCGCCACACUGGAACUGAGACACGGUCCAGACUCCUACGGGAGGCAGCAGUGGGGAAUUUUGGACAAUGGGGGCAACCCUGAUCCAGCUAUGCCGCGUGAGUGAAGAAGGCCUUCGGGUUGGUAAAG